GGGGAUUUGGCUCAGUGGUAGAGCGCUUGCCUAGCAAGCGCAAGGCCCUGGGUUCGAUCCCCAGCUCCA
This is a non-coding RNA of Rattus norvegicus (Norway rat), 69 nucleotides long. The record is from Rfam. Lineage: Eukaryota; Metazoa; Chordata; Mammalia; Rodentia; Muridae.